GAGUUGAGUUGAGUUGAGUUAUUGGUGGUAAUUGAAUAGAUUAUUGAUUUCUUUCCUUUUUGUCAAUUUCAUUAUUUUCAUGUUAGGUUGUGUUUCUUUAUUGGGAAUGGAUGUUAGGGAGUAGAAAUUAUUUUAAUUUUUUGACUUUCAUGUUUUAUUUAACCAAGGAAUAGUAAUAGAAGAGCUACAACUCAAAAAAAAAAAAAAAAG
This 210-nucleotide unclassified non-coding RNA is filed under the name Hevea brasiliensis (rubber tree). Lineage: Eukaryota; Viridiplantae; Streptophyta; Magnoliopsida; Malpighiales; Euphorbiaceae. The record is from RNAcentral.